This 484-nucleotide ribosomal RNA is filed under the name uncultured bacterium. Its description in RNAcentral is "partial 16S ribosomal RNA". It matches the Rfam family "Bacterial small subunit ribosomal RNA", at positions 28 to 523 of the family's 1533-position model. The record is from RNAcentral.
GACGAACGCUGGCGGCGUGCUUAACACAUGCAAGUCGAACGAUGAAGCCGGAGCUUGCUCUGGUGAAUUAGUGGCGAACGGGUGAGUAACACGUGAGUAACCUGCCCUUGACUCUGGGAUAACUGCUAGAAAUGGUAGCUAAUACCGGAUACGACCCUCGGAGGCAUCUCCAGGGGGUGGAAAGAAUUUCGGUCAAGGAUGGACUCGCGGCCUAUCAGCUAGUUGGUGAGGUAACGGCUCACCAAGGCGACGACGGGUAGCCGGCCUGAGAGGUUGACCGGCCACACUGGGACUGAGACACGGCCCAGACUCCUACGGGAGGCAGCAGUGGGGAAUAUUGCACAAUGGGCGCAAGCCUGAUGCAGCAACGCCGCGUGAGGGAUGACGGCCUUCGGGUUGUAAACCUCUUUUAGUAGGGAAGAAGCGAAAGUGACGGUACCUGCAGAAAAAGCACCGGCUAACUACGUGCCAGCAGCAGCCGCCG